GAUGAACGCUGGCGGCGUGCCUAAUACAUGCAAGUCGAGCGAACAGACGAGGAGCUUGCUCCUCUGACGUUAGCGGCGGACGGGUGAGUAACACGUGGAUAACCUACCUAUAAGACUGGGAUAACUUCGGGAAACCGGAGCUAAUACCGGAUAAUAUAUUGAACCGCAUGGUUCAAUAGUGAAAGACGGUUUUGCUGUCACUUAUAGAUGGAUCCGCGCCGCAUUAGCUAGUUCGUAAGGUAACGGCUUACCAAGGCAACGAUGCGUAGCCGACCUGAGAGGGUGAUCGGCCACACUGGAACUGAGACACGGUCCAGACUCCUACGGGAGGCAGCAGUAGGGAAUCUUCCGCAAUGGGCGAAAGCCUGACGGAGCAACGCCGCGUGAGUGAUGAAGGUCUUCGGAUCGUAAAACUCUGUUAUUAGGGAAGAACAAAUGUGUAAGUAACUAUGCACGUCUUGACGGUACCUAAUCAGAAAGCCACGGCUAACUACAUG
RNAcentral lists this ribosomal RNA (497 nucleotides) under uncultured bacterium. RNAcentral describes it as "partial 16S ribosomal RNA". It matches the Rfam family "Bacterial small subunit ribosomal RNA", at positions 28 to 507 of the family's 1533-position model. The record is from RNAcentral.